UACGUAGGGUGCGAGCGUUAAUCGGAAUUACUGGGCGUAAAGCGAGUGUAGGCGGUUCGGUAAGUCGGAUGUGAAAGCCCCGGGCUCAACCCGGGAAGUGCACUCGAUACUGCCGAGCUAGAGUAUCGGAGAGGUUGGUGGAAUUCUCGGUGUAGAGGUGAAAUUCGUAGAUAUCGAGAGGAACACCGGUGGCGAAGGCGGCCAACUGGACGAAUACUGACGCUGAGACUCGAAAGCGUGGGGAGCAAACAGG
Molecule: ribosomal RNA, 253 nt
Filed under: uncultured bacterium
Lineage: Bacteria
Description: partial 16S ribosomal RNA
Rfam family: Bacterial small subunit ribosomal RNA
Source: RNAcentral